RNAcentral lists this ribosomal RNA (253 nucleotides) under uncultured bacterium. RNAcentral's name for it is "partial 16S ribosomal RNA". It matches the Rfam family "Bacterial small subunit ribosomal RNA", at positions 524 to 776 of the family's 1533-position model. The record is from RNAcentral.
UACGGAGGAUGCGAGCGUUAUCCGGAAUCACUGGGUUUAAAGGGUGCGUAGGCGGGUUUGUAAGUCCGUGGUGAAAGCCGGUCGCCCAACGAUCGAAUUGCCAUUGAUACUGCAAGUCUUGAAGGACAGUGAAGUUGGCAGAAUGUGACAUGUAGCGGUGAAAUGCAUAGAUAUGUCAUAGAAUACCAAUUGCGAAGGCAGCCGACCGGCUGUUUCUUGACGCUGAGGCACGAAAGCGUGGGGAUCAAACAGG